Molecule: ribosomal RNA, 468 nt
Filed under: uncultured bacterium
Lineage: Bacteria
Description: partial 16S ribosomal RNA
Rfam family: Bacterial small subunit ribosomal RNA
Source: RNAcentral
GACGAACGCUGGCGGCGCGCCUAACACAUGCAAGUCGAACGGAGCUGAGAGAAGCUUGCUUUUCUUAGCUUAGUGGCGAAAGGGUGAGUAACGCGUGAGUAACCUGCCCUGGAGUGGGGGACAACAGUUGGAAACGACUGCUAAUACCGCAUAAGCCCACGAUCCGGCAUCGGAUUGAGGGAAAAGGAUUUAUUCGCUUCAGGAUGGACUCGCGUCCAAUUAGCUAGUUGGUGAGGUAACGGCCCACCAAGGCGACGAUUGGUAGCCGGACUGAGAGGUUGAACGGCCACAUUGGGACUGAGACACGGCCCAGACUCCUACGGGAGGCAGCAGUGGGGGAUAUUGCACAAUGGGGGAAACCCUGAUGCAGCGACGCCGCGUGGAGGAAGAAGGUUUUCGGAUUGUAAACUCCUGUCGUUAGGGACGAUAAUGACGGUACCUAACAAGAAAGCACCGGCUAACUACGUG